This 467-nucleotide ribosomal RNA is filed under the name uncultured bacterium. RNAcentral's name for it is "partial 16S ribosomal RNA". It matches the Rfam family "Bacterial small subunit ribosomal RNA", at positions 28 to 506 of the family's 1533-position model. The record is from RNAcentral.
GACGAACGCUGGCGGCGUGCUUAACACAUGCAAGUCGAACGGAAAGGCCCUGCUUUUGUGGGGUGCUCGAGUGGCGAACGGGUGAGUAACACGUGAGUAACCUGCCCUUGACUUUGGGAUAACUUCAGGUAACUGGGGCUACUACCGGAUAGGAGCUCCUGCUGCAUGGUGGGGGUUGGAAAGUUUCGGCGGUUGGGGUUGGACUCGCGGCUUAUCAGCUUGUUGGUGGGGUAGUGGCUUACCAAGGCUUUGACGGGUAGCCGGCCUGAGAGGGUGACCGGCCACAGUGGGACUGGGAUACGGCCCAGACUCCUACGGGAGGCAGCAGUGGGGAAUAUUGCACAAUGGGCGGAAGCGUGAUGCAGCAACGCCGCGUGCGGGAGGACGGCCUUCGGGUUGUAAACCGCUUUCGCCUGUGACGAAGCGUGAGUGACGGUAAUGGGUAAAGAAGCACCGGCUAACUACGU